AGGCAGCUCGUAGCAGUAGCGGGGGGAAUACGAGGGUUGGAAGCGUUAUCCGGAUUAAUUGGUGUUAAAGGGGUGGUAGGUGGGUUGGUAAGUCAGUGGUGAAAUCCCCUAGCUUAACUUGGGGACUGACAUUGAUACUAUCAGUCUUGAAUACCGUGGAGGGCAGAGGAAUAUGUCAUGUAGCGGUGAAAUGCUUAGAUAUGACAUAGAACACCAAGUGCGAAGGCAGCUGGCUACACGAAUAUUGACACUGAGGCACGAAAGCAUGGGGAUCAAACAGGAUUAGAUACCCGAGUAGUC
This 300-nucleotide ribosomal RNA is filed under the name uncultured Methanothermobacter sp. RNAcentral's name for it is "bacterial SSU rRNA". It matches the Rfam family "Bacterial small subunit ribosomal RNA", at positions 496 to 795 of the family's 1533-position model. The record is from RNAcentral. Lineage: Archaea; Methanobacteriati; Methanobacteriota; Methanobacteria; Methanobacteriales; Methanobacteriaceae.